UUUAAAAAAAAAUUAGAGAUAAUGAAAACUUAGUUUUCAUUGAUUAUAUUAAACAGUUUAAAUUUAGCUUAAAGUUUUAUUAUAACUUUAAAGUUUUAUCUGAUUUUUAGAUAGAAUAAAGGAGGCCUAAGAUUUAUAUAUUAAAAAAUUUAUAAAUAGAUUAAAGUUUAUUAUACUGGCGAAAGACGUGCCAGCCGCCGCGGUUAGACGAGAAGUAUUAAAUAAAGUUUGUAAUUAGGAGGGGGAAAAUAAAAUUUUAUAAGUAGAUUUAUUUUUAGGUGAAAUUAAAAAUAAUAAUAAUUAUACUCUUGUUUCCUCUAAAAAUUUAGGAGAAAAACAAGGAUUAGAUACCCUUUUAUUCUAAGUUAAAAAUUCUUAAGGAGUAAACUAAGUAUGAAAAUUAAAAAUUUUGGCGGUGUUUUAACUUUAUAGAGGAACUUGCCCUGUUAUUGAUAAUCCCCAAAUAAUCUUACUUUAGUCAACAUUCAUAUACCGUUGUUGUUUCAGAUUACUUUAAUAAAAAUUUUGAGUUUUCUAAUAAGUUUUGAUUAAGCUUUUACUUCAAAUCAAGGUGUGGUUUAUAUUAAAGGUUGAGGUGAGUUACAUUAAGUAGAAUUUUAGAAUUUUAUAAGAAAUUAUAUUUUGAAAUUGGAUUUGUUAGUAAGUUUAAAUUAAUAAGUUAUUCUGAAUUAGGCUCUAGAACAUGCACAUAUCGCCCGUCGCUCUGAUAUUUAAAAUUAGAUAAGUCGUAACAAAGUAGAUUUAAGGGAACUUGAAUCUAGAAAG
RNAcentral lists this non-coding RNA (786 nucleotides) under Opilio parietinus. The record is from RNAcentral. Lineage: Eukaryota; Metazoa; Arthropoda; Arachnida; Opiliones; Phalangiidae.